ACUCCUACGGGAGGCAGCAGUGGGGAAUAUUGGACAAUGGGCGAAAGCCUGAUCCAGCCAUGCCGCGUGUGUGAAGAAGGCCUUCGGGUUGUAAAGCACUUUCAGUGAGGAAGAAAGCCUUGAGGUUAAUACCCUCGAGGGAGGACAUCACUCACAGAAGAAGCACCGGCUAACUCCGUGCCAGCAGCCGCGGUAAUACGGAGGGUGCGAGCGUUAAUCGGAAUUACUGGGCGUAAAGCGCGCGUAGGCGGCUUGAUAAGCCGGUUGUGAAAGCCCCGGGCUCAACCUGGGAACGGCAUCCGGAACUGUCAGGCUAGAGUGCAGGAGAGGAAGGUAGAAUUCCCGGUGUAGCGGUGAAAUGCGUAGAGAUCGGGAGGAAUACCAGUGGCGAAGGCGGCCUUCUGGACUGACACUGACGCUGAGGUGCGAAGCGUGGGUAGCAAACGGAUUAGAUACCCUGG
This 461-nucleotide ribosomal RNA is filed under the name uncultured bacterium. Its description in RNAcentral is "bacterial SSU rRNA". It matches the Rfam family "Bacterial small subunit ribosomal RNA", at positions 335 to 790 of the family's 1533-position model. The record is from RNAcentral.